Molecule: ribosomal RNA, 773 nt
Filed under: uncultured Neocallimastigales
Lineage: Eukaryota; Fungi; Neocallimastigomycota; Neocallimastigomycetes; Neocallimastigales
Description: partial large subunit ribosomal RNA
Rfam family: Eukaryotic large subunit ribosomal RNA
Source: RNAcentral
UACUAGAGUAGCACUCGCAUAUCAAUAAGCGGAGGAAAAGAAACUAACAAGGAUUCCCCUAGUAACGGCGAGUGAAGCGGGAAGAGCUCAAAUUUGAAAUCUUAAAGGGUUUCCCUUUACGAAUUGUAGUUUAAAGAAGUGUUUUCUGUUGAGGUUUUGGUAAAAGUUCUUUGGAAUAGGACAUCAUAGAGGGUGAGAAUCCCGUAUUUGACCUUUACUUUCAACUUUGUGAUACACUUUCAAAGAGUCGGAUUGUUUGGGAAUGCAGUCCAAAAUGGGUGGUAAAUUUCAUCUAAAGCUAAAUAUUGGCGAGGGACCGAUAGCGAACAAGUACCGUGAGGGAAAGAUGAAAAGAACUUUGAAAAGAGAGUUAAACAGUACGUGAAAUUGUCAAAAGGGAAGCGUUUGACACCAGUGUUGUUUUUCUGAAAAUCAAUUAAAGAACUGUUUAUGCUAAGUUGUUUAGACUUUAUCAGCUAUCUGCUUAGUUUUGAGCUUUUCUUUAAUGCACUUUUCAGUUAACAAGUCAACAUCAAUUUCUUUUGCUGUAAAAAAGCUUGAGGAAGGUGGCUUGAGAUUCGUCUUAAGUGUUUAUAGCCUCUUGCCUAUGCAGUCGGAGAGAUUGAGGUCUGCAGCGUAGAUCCUUCGGGGCUAAAUGCAUUUGUGCUAAGUUAUAGCAUUUUAUAGACAACUUGUUGACUAUGAUUUGUCUUGUAGCUUACUCGCUUAUGUUAUUUUACCUACGCUUAGGAUGUUGAACUCUAUCACACACA